RNAcentral lists this ribosomal RNA (468 nucleotides) under uncultured bacterium. RNAcentral describes it as "partial 16S ribosomal RNA". It matches the Rfam family "Bacterial small subunit ribosomal RNA", at positions 28 to 507 of the family's 1533-position model. The record is from RNAcentral.
GACGAACGCUGGCGGCGUGCUUAACACAUGCAAGUCGAACGGAAAGGCCCUGCUUUUGUGGGGUGCUCGAGUGGCGAACGGGUGCGUAACACGUGAGUAACCUGCCCUUGACUUUGGGAUCACUUCAGGAAACUGGGGCUAAUACCGGAUAGGAGCUCCUGCUGCAUGGUGGGGGUUGGAAAGUUUCGGCGGUUGGCGAUGGACUCGCGGCUUAUCAGCUUGUUGGUGGGGUAGUGGCUUACCAAGGCUUUGACGGGUAGCCGGCCUGAGAGGGUGACCGGCCACAUUGGGACUGAGAUACGGCCCAGACUCCUACGGGAGGCAGCAGUGGGGAAUAUUGCACAAUGGGCGGAAGCCUGAUGCAGCAACGCCGCGUGCGGGAUGACGGCCUUCGGGUUGUAAACCGCUUUCGCCUGUGACGAAGCGUGAGUGACGGUAAUGGGUAAAGAAGCACCGGCUAACUACGUG